Molecule: ribosomal RNA, 429 nt
Filed under: Chloroflexota bacterium
Lineage: Bacteria; Bacillati; Chloroflexota
Description: Chloroflexi bacterium partial 16S ribosomal RNA
Rfam family: Bacterial small subunit ribosomal RNA
Source: RNAcentral
UGGGGAAUAUUGCACAAUGGGCGCAAGCCUGAUGCAGCCAUGCCGCGUGUAUGAAGAAGGCCUUCGGGUUGUAAAGUACUUUCAGCGGGGAGGAAGGGAGUAAAGUUAAUACCUUUGCUCAUUGACGUUACCCGCAGAAGAAGCACCGGCUAACUCCGUGCCAGCAGCCGCGGUAAUACGGAGGGUGCAAGCGUUAAUCGGAAUUACUGGGCGUAAAGCGCACGCAGGCGGUUUGUUAAGUCAGAUGUGAAAUCCCCGGGCUCAACCUGGGAACUGCAUCUGAUACUGGCAAGCUUGAGUCUCGUAGAGGGGGGUAGAAUUCCAGGUGUAGCGGUGAAAUGCGUAGAGAUCUGGAGGAAUACCGAUGGCGAAGGCGGCCCCCUGGACGAAGACUGACGCUCAGGUGCGAAAGCGUGGGGAGCAAACAGG